UUCACAUAACCAUAUUCAUAAGUAUGUCAUGCCAAAACAUAAAAUAGAAUAAGUAACUCAGGUAAAAAUAGAUUCAUGGAAAAUAACAUAUUAGCCAGAAACCCUGCAGAAGUUUAUACGGCUGAAUUCAUAGCUCAUUAGUCAAUUUAGCCAAAGUCACUACAAAUGACCUAUACGGCACUACACUGCACACAAGUCCGAUCCACUAAAAGGUAUGUACGACAAGAUUGGGUAUAAUAUAGUUAUGCUCAAUGCUACACACUCAUGAUAGCUAUGCGAUAAAUCGCUAGUCACCUACGAGUCGAAACCACCUAUAGUAGUCUAUACGACAAGACUGUGCACCUGAAUUGGAUCCAAUGUGAGCAUAUGGUGCGAGAGGUGACAUUAUAUACAGGCUUGUGCCAUAUCUCUGGCUAAUCACUAACACCCGGGUGCAUGUUUAUGAGCUCAAUGUUUCUCAAUUAAUCACAACCGUUAUUCACAUUCACAAUUCUUAUACUCACCUGGGA
Molecule: long non-coding RNA, 509 nt
Filed under: Malus domestica (apple)
Lineage: Eukaryota; Viridiplantae; Streptophyta; Magnoliopsida; Rosales; Rosaceae
Description: long non-coding RNA (MDOM_LNC006995)
Source: RNAcentral